AAACAUUUUACUAUCACAUCUCACUCUCCACGUUCAAAUGGGAAAUUCGUCUCUGACUUUUAAACCACAAUCUCAAGCUCCAUCGCCGCCGUGUCUGAGACUCCAACGAAAGUUGCCGCCGGCGAGCCACGGCCAUAGCUUCUGUCUUGACCCCGAUCUCCAUCUCUCAGCCCCUAAUCUCCAUCCUCUCACCCAAAGAAACCCAAGAUCCCCAAAUCCACACCGCCUCUUCGCGAUUUCCGGCAACCACGGCAGCUACCCUAUCGCUGCCGCCCCUGAACUCUGGUGAAAGAUGCCGCCGGCGAGCCAACCAGAAAUCGAUCUGCCAUCUCCCUUCCCCCACAUGCACCACAAAUCGAAUAUUUUUUGUUUCCUUUCAGCUACAAUUGCAAGUUCCUUCUCCCCAUAUCGUCGAUCCUGCUGAAAAAUACAUAUCUUUGAUAAUUCCAGCAUACAACGAAGAGCACAGACUUCCAGGGGCUCUGGAUGAAACCUUGAAGUGUUGGGAUUUGAAUUUUUUGGUUGGUUGAUGUUUUAUUGCCUUUUUCCUGCAUUAUUUCUAAUGUUUCUGGUCUUGAAGUUGUCAUGGCAAAAGAGCAUCUCAAAUGAAUUUGGUAAAGGGAUCUGCUUCUGAUGUAUUUGGAGGUUUGGAGGUGAAGGGUAUUUAAAUUUUCAGAUGAAUAGGAAGAUGGAGGAAAUUUUAUGAUUCAAGACUGGAAGGCUGAAUUUGUCAUCAGAAUUUGGAUAUCUUUCCUUCGGGUUUUUACCUCUUUUUUUUGAAUGGAUCUCAUCAAUUCAAGCCUUCAGGGCAUAGUUUCUUAAGAACUAAGAAAACUUAAGGGAUUAUCACUGGAUGAAAGUUAAGCUCCAACGUGUUGUAAUGCUACUGAUGACAUGAUGGUCUUAAGACAGCUUAUACAGGCUACUUCAAAGAGAUUCUAUUAGAAAUGCGAAACAUAGUUUAUGAGGAUCUUGGGAGAGGAGAAAGUAGAAAAGGUUUAAUACCCUCGCUCCUUUUGGGAUUAUGAAGGCAUUGUUUGAAUUGUUUGAUUUAAAGCAGUUAUUCUUUUCUAUUAUAUUGUGUAAAAAUAAAUAAGCUCAUUGUUUAGACAGAAUAAAUGAGUGGAAUAAAUAUUGAGGUUCUACUUCCACCAAUAGUUCUUUAUUUUUAUUUUUAUUUUGACA
Long non-coding RNA from Salvia miltiorrhiza (redroot sage), 1185 nucleotides. RefSeq lists it as uncharacterized. The record is from RefSeq and is a predicted model, not a curated record. The transcript is spliced from 6 exons. NCBI's taxonomy places the organism in Eukaryota, Viridiplantae, Streptophyta, Magnoliopsida, Lamiales, Lamiaceae.